AGAAUCAACGCUGGCGGCGUGCCUAACACAUGCAAGUCGCACGAGAAAGGGACUUCGGUCCUGAGUACAGUGGCGCACGGGUGAGUAACACGUGAAUUAUCUACCUCCGAGUGGGGAAUAACUGAGAGAAAUCUUAGCUAAUACCGCAUAACACUUACGAGUCAAAGCAGCAAUGCGCUUGGAGAGGAGUUCGCGGCAGAUUAGUUAGUUGGCGGGGUAAUGGCCCACCAAGACGAUGAUCUGUAUCCGGCCUGAGAGGGCGCACGGACACACUGGAACUGAAACACGGUCCAGACUCCUACGGGAGGCAGCAGUGGGGAAUUUUGCGCAAUGGGGGAAACCCUGACGCAGCAACGCCGCGUGGAGGAUGAAAUAUCUUGGUAUGUAAACUCCUUUCGAUGGGAAGAUAAUGACGGUACCAUAGAAGAAGCCCGGCUAACUUCGUGCCAGCAGCCGC
RNAcentral lists this ribosomal RNA (457 nucleotides) under uncultured bacterium. Its description in RNAcentral is "SSU rRNA". It matches the Rfam family "Bacterial small subunit ribosomal RNA", at positions 26 to 518 of the family's 1533-position model. The record is from RNAcentral.